AGGAUAAGUGUUUACAGAAGAGUUGGU
This 27-nucleotide non-coding RNA is filed under the name Rattus norvegicus (Norway rat). The record is from RNAcentral. Lineage: Eukaryota; Metazoa; Chordata; Mammalia; Rodentia; Muridae.